Molecule: ribosomal RNA, 301 nt
Filed under: uncultured bacterium
Lineage: Bacteria
Description: partial 16S ribosomal RNA
Rfam family: Bacterial small subunit ribosomal RNA
Source: RNAcentral
CAGUAGCCGCGGUAACACGGAGGGUGCAAGCGUUAUCCGGAUUUACUGGGUUUAAAGGGUGCGUAGGCGGACUUGUAAGUCCGAGGUGAAAUCUCUGAGCUUAACUCGGAAACUGCCUUGGAUACUAUAGGUCUUGAAUCUCGUUGAGGUUUGCGGAAUAUGUCAUGUAGCGGUGAAAUGCUUAGAUAUGACAUAGAACACCUAUUGCGAAGGCAGCAGGCUAAACGAGUAUUGACGCUGAUGCACGAAAGCGUGGGGAUCAAACAGGAUUAGAUACCCGCGUAGUCCCUUUCUCUUAUAC